UACGAAGGGGGCUAGCGUUGCUCGGAAUCACUGGGCGUAAAGCGCACGUAGGCGGAUUUCUAAGUCAGGGGUGAAAUCCUGGAGCUCAACUCCAGAACUGCCUUUGAUACUGGGAAUCUCGAGUCCGGGAGAGGUGAGUGGAACUGCGAGUGUAGAGGUGAAAUUCGUAGAUAUUCGCAAGAACACCAGUGGCGAAGGCGGCUCACUGGCCUGGUACUGACGCUGAGGUGCGAAAGCGUGGGGAGCAAACAGG
This 253-nucleotide ribosomal RNA is filed under the name uncultured bacterium. RNAcentral describes it as "partial 16S ribosomal RNA". It matches the Rfam family "Bacterial small subunit ribosomal RNA", at positions 524 to 776 of the family's 1533-position model. The record is from RNAcentral.